GCUGUUCGCCCAUUAAAGCGGUACGCGAGCUGGGUUUAGAACGUCGUGAGACAGUUCGGUCCCUAUCCGCCGUGGGCGCAGGAGACUUGAGGAGGGUUGACCCUAGUACGAGAGGACCGGGUUGAACGGACCGCUAGUGUACCGGUUGUCACGCCAGUGGCACUGCCGGGUAGCCAUGUCCGGUUCGGAUAAGCGCUGAAAGCAUCUAAGCGCGAAGCCGACUCCAAGAUGAGGUCUCCCACCGGGUUAACCGGGUAAGGGCCCUCGUAGACAACGAGGUCGAUAGGCCGCAGGUGUAAGGCAUGUGAGUGCUUGAGCUGAGCGGUACUAAUAGCCCGAGGGCUUGUCCG
RNAcentral lists this ribosomal RNA (350 nucleotides) under Chloroflexota bacterium. Its description in RNAcentral is "Chloroflexi bacterium partial 23S ribosomal RNA". It matches the Rfam family "Bacterial large subunit ribosomal RNA", at positions 2576 to 2925 of the family's 2925-position model. Lineage: Bacteria; Bacillati; Chloroflexota. The record is from RNAcentral.